RNAcentral lists this long non-coding RNA (670 nucleotides) under Oryctolagus cuniculus (rabbit). RNAcentral's name for it is "lncRNA (ENSOCUG00000036376.1)". The record is from RNAcentral. Lineage: Eukaryota; Metazoa; Chordata; Mammalia; Lagomorpha; Leporidae.
CAUAUUCCUGUGUUUGUUCUGAGUCUAAAGUGAUACCUAAGAAAACGAUCAUGAAGCAAUAUUUCGACUUUCUGCUGAAAAAGAUGAAAGGUCAGAAGCAAGGCGGAAGAUAAAAUAAAGAAAAAAUAUCCAAACAAGAAAAUGACAAAAGCAAGAUAAAAAAACCUAUUAAAAUGAAUUGACGGAAUCCACACCUUCCUCCUGAUCACUGUUACUACCAAGUUCUUGAACUUCAGGAGUCUCAAAAUACUGACACCAUCCCCACCACUCUUCUGCUGGAUCAUCUUUGAGGCUUGUGUACUGACUGCACAGGAAGAAAUAAUCAACCUAGUUUAUUCUGAACCCAGUCAGUUCCUGACCACAUUCCGUAAAUGCAGGCAUUUGGAAGAAAACAAACUGAUCCACAGGUAACAGAAACCAAAACCUGUGCCGAUGGAGAGAUAGGAAACUGUGACUAAAUGAUUCCAGGUAAGUCCAAUAUAGCAUAAAAGAAAGAAAUGCUGUUGAAAUAUUUAAAGAGAUAGUCAUGCUGGCAUCUCAAACUUCUAAUAGCCAGACCAGCAACUAAGUUACUAUACCAUAGAUAGUGCAAUUUCUUCCAAUCUGACUCUUUCUUGGUCUCUUUUUUUCUUUCCUUCUUUUGAAACUGCAGGUGUGUGCGGCUAGGAUA